Small nucleolar RNA from Echinops telfairi (small Madagascar hedgehog), 139 nucleotides. Its record names the gene SNORA70. It matches the Rfam family "Small nucleolar RNA SNORA70". Rfam says of the family: snoRNA U70 seems to be exclusive to mammals and is a member of the H/ACA class of snoRNA which contain H (ANANNA) and ACA box motifs. H/ACA box snoRNAs are involved in the conversion of uridines to pseudouridines (5-ribosyluracil) a constituent of structural RNAs (transfer, ribosomal, small nuclear, and small nucleolar). Lineage: Eukaryota; Metazoa; Chordata; Mammalia; Afrosoricida; Tenrecidae. The record is from Ensembl.
UGGCGGUCAAUUCGGUUGAUCAUCCUCAUAUUGAGGGGUGUGCGUGUCAGUGGGCAAUGGCUGCAAACAGCAGCCUUCUCGGUAGGCUAUGAAACCUGUUGGCAAGUCUAGGUUGCCCUUGGUGACUUUGGAAGCAACU